This 301-nucleotide ribosomal RNA is filed under the name uncultured bacterium. Its description in RNAcentral is "partial 16S ribosomal RNA". It matches the Rfam family "Bacterial small subunit ribosomal RNA", at positions 509 to 809 of the family's 1533-position model. The record is from RNAcentral.
CAGCAGCCGCGGGAAUACAGAGGGUGCGAGCGUUAAUCGGAUUUACUGGGCGUAAAGCGUGCGUAGGCGGCUUCUUAAGUCGGAUGUGAAAUCCCUGAGCUUAACUUAGGAAUUGCAUUCGAUACUGGGAAGCUAGAGUAUGGGAGAGGAUGGAAGAAUUCCAGGUGUAGCGGUGAAAUGCGUAGAGAUCUGGAGGAAUACCGAUGGCGAAGGCAGCCAUCUGGCCUAAUACUGACGCUGAGGUACGAAAGCAUGGGGAGCAAACAGGAUUAGAUACCCCAGUAGUCCCUGUCUCUUAUAA